Long non-coding RNA from Phyllopteryx taeniolatus (common seadragon), 1231 nucleotides. RefSeq lists it as uncharacterized. NCBI's taxonomy places the organism in Eukaryota, Metazoa, Chordata, Actinopteri, Syngnathiformes, Syngnathidae. The record is from RefSeq and is a predicted model, not a curated record. The transcript is spliced from 3 exons.
UUCCGAUGUACUUGUUAAUUGAAGGGUAAAUUGUUAUUAUUAUAAAUAAAUUCUUGUUUUAUGCUGUUAUUUUCUAAUCGUAUUUCAUUUUAUUUAAUUUUUUUUUUAUUUCACGCCCUAAAAAAAAAAAAUCCCCAGUGGUAAUAAAUUCAACCCAUUUUAAAGCGUAACACUGAUGUGACUUUUCCAUACAAACGCCACAUCCGGUGAUGUGUUGUGUCAUUACUUCACUUGACUAGCUCAGUUAGUGCAUCGCAAUUUCUGAUCUAGAAUAAAAUCAUGACCAGUGAGCCCCAAAAGUGCAUGUCUGGAGUUUAUUUUUUUAAAUUUAUUUUUUCACAUGGUGUGUGUUUGUUGGUGCACAAUAAUGACCACAAUGACAUUUGCUUUUUAAGUUUUAUGGGAAGGGUGAGUCUGUUACAUAUUUACAGUAAUUGUAAUGAUUAAUUUCUUCCUCGCCCACUUUGCUGUCUUAAGGAGUAGUCAGUUGGGGAGCGAGCAUUUUCUUUUCUUGUCACCUUUCAGGACAGCUCUCCACCAACUGCUCCAUGUGGUGGUCAGUCUUAGUAUUUUUCAGUGUCAUUAUUUUAUUUUAUUUUAUUUUAUUUGUACUUACAUCAGACUACACGUUCUCGUCUUUGUGGACCAAAUACAAAAGGGCCAUUGAAGGAAUCCAUUGAACGCUUGAUAAGAUAAAUAGUUGGGCAGAGCUCCUUCAAACAAUCACCACAUCCAUGAUAUUUGUCCGUAAUCCAAGGUAAGUAUUUUUCAAUGGGCAUUAUAUUAAAUGUAAGAACAAUUGAAUCAUUUCAAUUCAGUCAAAACAAAAAUAUUUCCAAGACUUAGUGACUCUCAUUUUGACUAAUGACUUAAAGACAGUCUAUUUUUGUAAAACAGGUAAGAUCAUGUGAUAGAACAACAGGAUGAAGGAAACAGGGGUGAAUGUGCAAACUUGAAUUACUUUAUGGCCCUAUUUUUUUUUUCACUUGAGGACAGGGUUAAGGGUCAAAGACCAAUCCCGAUUACAGGCAUUCUGCAAUAUUUUUCAGAAAAGAUUCACACAAAGUAAAACAUAACUCCAGCAUGGCGUAAAUGUAAAACAUUUAUUCUGAACUUGUAAAAUGUAUUCAUUGACAUGAUGGCUGCUGCUUGUCUUGACUUCCAGCACUGAUUCUUCUUUCAUUCACCCGGUGAAUCACCCUCAUUUUAUUGCUGCCAUAAGAGUACAAAU